Long non-coding RNA from Andrographis paniculata, 5560 nucleotides. RefSeq lists it as uncharacterized. Lineage: Eukaryota; Viridiplantae; Streptophyta; Magnoliopsida; Lamiales; Acanthaceae. The record is from RefSeq and is a predicted model, not a curated record. The transcript has 9 exons.
CGGAUGAGCGGACUACCGAAAAUAAAACUGGAAGUUUUUCGUGCUCUUCUCUUUUAUAUUUAUGCAUUGCAUUUACUUUAUCAUAUUGCAUAUAGAGUUAGGAUUAUUUUUAGUCCCGGGACUUGCAUGCAUGCAUUAAUUUUGUUUCUUAAUUUUAUACUAACAUAUUUUUUAGUGUUUUUGGUUUGUAGGUACAGCUUUUGGGGAGAGCGACCGGAUGAGCGGACUACCGAAAACAAAACAGGGAGUUUUUCGUUGUCUUCUCUUUUAUAUUUAUGCAUUGAAUUUAUUUUAUCAUAUCGCAUAUAGAGUUAGGAUUAUUUUUAGUCCCGGGACUUGCAUGCAUGCAUUAAUUUUGUUUCUUAAUUUUAUACUAACAUAUAUUUUUAGUGUUUUUGGUUUGUAGGUACAGCUUUUGGGGAGAGCUGCCGGUUGAGCAGACUACCGAAAACAAAACAGGGAGUUUUUCGUACUCUUCUCUUUUAUAUUUAUGCAUUGCAUUUAUUUUAUCAUAUUGCAUAUAGAGUUAGGAUUAUUUUUACGUCCCGGGACUUGCAUGCAUGCAUUAAUUUUGUUUCUUAAUUUUAUACUAACAUAUUUUUUAGUGUUUUUGGUUUGUAGGUACAGCUUUUGGGGAGAGCGGCCGGAUGAGUGGACUACCGAAAACAAAACAUGGAGUUUUUCGUACUAUUCUCUUUUACAUUUAUGUAUUGCUUUUAUUUUAUCAUAUUGCGUAUAGAGUUAGGAUUAUUUUUAGUCCCGGGACUUGCAUGCAUGCAUUAAUUUUGUUUCUUAAUUUUAUACUAACAUAUUUUUUAGUAUUUUUGGUUUGUAGGUACAGCUUUUGGGGAGAGCGGCCGGAUGAGCGGACUACCGAAAAUAAAACAGGGAGUUUUUCAUACUCUUCUUUCUCUUUUACAUUUAUGCAUUGCUUUUAUUUUAUCAUAUUGCAUAUAGAGUUAGGAUUAUUUUUAGUCCCGGGACUUGCAUGCAUGCAUUAAUUUUGUUUCUUAAUUUUAUACUAACAUAUUUUUUAGUGUUUUUGGUUUGUAGGUACAGCUUUUGGGGAGAGCGGCCGGAUGAGCGGACUACCGAAAAUAAAACAGGAAGUUUUUCGUGCUCUUCUGUUUUAUAUUUAUGCAUUGCAUUUACUUUAUCAAAUUGCAUAUAGAGUUAGGAUUAUUUUUAGUCCCGGGACUUGCAUGUAUGCAUUAAUUUUGUUUCUUAAUUUUUUACUAACAUAUUUUUUAGUGUUUUUGGUUUGUAGGUACAGCUUUUGGGGAGAGCGGCCGGAUGAGCGGACUACCGAAAACAAAACAGGGAGUUUUUCGUACUCUUCUCUUUUAUAUUUAUGAAUUGCAUUUAUUUUAUCAUAUCACAUAUAGAGUUAGGAUUAUUUUUAGUCCCGGGACUUGCAUGCAUGCAUUAAUUUUGUUUCUUAAUUUUAUACUAACAUAUUUUUUAGUGUUUUUGAUUUGUAGGUACAGCUUUUGGGGAGAACAGCCGGAUGAGCGGAGUACCGAAAACAAAACUGGUACAGCUUUUGGGGAGAGCGGCCGGAUGAGCGGACUACCAAAAAUAAAACAGGGAGUUUUUCAUAAUCUUCUUUCUCUUUUACAUUUAUGGAUUGCUUUUAUUUUGUUGCAUGUAUAGUUAGGAUUAUUUUUAGUCCCGGGACUUGCAUGCAUGCAUUAAUUUUGUUUUUUAAUUUUAUACUAUCAUAUGUUUUAGUGUUUUUCGUUUGUAGGUACAGCUUUUGGGGAGAGCGGCCGGAUGAGCAGACUACCGAAAACAAAACAAGGAGUUUUUCGUACUCUUCUCUUUUACAUUUAUGCAUUGCUUUUAUUUUGUCAUAUUGCAUAUAGAGUUAGGAUUAUUUUUAGUCCCGGGACUUGCAUGCAUGCAUUAAUUUUGUUUCUUAAUUUUAUACUAACAUAUUUUUUAGUGUUUUUGGUUUGUAGGUACAGCUUUUGGGGAGAGCGACCGGAUGAGCGGACUACCGAAAACAAAACAGGGAGUUUUUCGUUGUCUUCUCUUUUAUAUUUAUGCAUUGAAUUUAUUUUAUCAUAUCGCAUAUAGAGUUAGGAUUAUUUUUAGUCCCGGGACUUGCAUGCAUGCAUUAAUUUUGUUUCUUAAUUUUAUACUAACAUAUAUUUUUAGUGUUUUUGGUUUGUAGGUACAGCUUUUGGGGAGAGCUGCCGGUUGAGCAGACUACCGAAAACAAAACAGGGAGUUUUUCGUACUCUUCUCUUUUAUAUUUAUGCAUUGCAUUUAUUUUAUCAUAUUGCAUAUAGAGUUAGGAUUAUUUUUACGUCCCGGGACUUGCAUGCAUGCAUUAAUUUUGUUUCUUAAUUUUAUACUAACAUAUUUUUUAGUGUUUUUGGUUUGUAGGUACAGCUUUUGGGGAGAGCGGCCGGAUGAGUGGACUACCGAAAACAAAACAUGGAGUUUUUCUAUUUUUGGUUUGUAGGUACAGCUUUUGGGGAGAGCGGCCGGAUGAGCGGACUACCGAAAAUAAAACAGGGAGUUUUUCAUACUCUUCUUUCUCUUUUACAUUUAUGCAUUGCUUUUAUUUUAUCAUAUUGCAUAUAGAGUUAGGAUUAUUUUUAGUCCCGGGACUUGCAUGCAUGUAUUAAUUUUGUUUCUUAAUUUUAUACUAACAUAUUUUUUAGUGUUUUUGGUUUGUAGGUACAGCUUUUGGGGAGAGCGGCCGGAUGAGCGGACUACCGAAAACAAAACAGGGAGUUUUUCGUACUCUUCUCUUUUAUAUUUAUGAAUUGCAUUUAUUUUAUCAUAUCACAUAUAGAGUUAGGAUUAUUUUUAGUCCCGGGACUUGCAUGCAUGCAUUAAUUUUGUUUCUUAAUUUUAUACUAACAUAUUUUUUAGUGUUUUUGAUUUGUAGGUACAGCUUUUGGGGAGAACAGCCGGAUGAGCGGAGUACCGAAAACAAAACUGUGUUUUUGGUUUGUAGGUACAGCUUUUGGGGAGAGCGGCCGGAUGAGCGGACUACCAAAAAUAAAACAGGGAGUUUUUCAUAAUCUUCUUUCUCUUUUACAUUUAUGGAUUGCUUUUAUUUUGUUGCAUGUAUAGUUAGGAUUAUUUUUAGUCCCGGGACUUGCAUGCAUGCAUUAAUUUUGUUUUUUAAUUUUAUACUAUCAUAUGUUUUAGUGUUUUUCGUUUGUAGGUACAGCUUUUGGGGAGAGCGGCCGGAUGAGCAGACUACCGAAAACAAAACAAGGAGUUUUUCUGUUUUUGGUUUGUAGGUACAGCUUUUGGGGAGAGCGACCGGAUGAGCGGACUACCGAAAACAAAACAGGGAGUUUUUCGUUGUCUUCUCUUUUAUAUUUAUGCAUUGAAUUUAUUUUAUCAUAUCGCAUAUAGAGUUAGGAUUAUUUUUAGUCCCGGGACUUGCAUGCAUGCAUUAAUUUUGUUUCUUAAUUUUAUACUAACAUAUAUUUUUAGUGUUUUUGGUUUGUAGGUACAGCUUUUGGGGAGAGCUGCCGGUUGAGCAGACUACCGAAAACAAAACAGGGAGUUUUUCGUACUCUUCUCUUUUAUAUUUAUGCAUUGCAUUUAUUUUAUCAUAUUGCAUAUAGAGUUAGGAUUAUUUUUACGUCCCGGGACUUGCAUGCAUGCAUUAAUUUUGUUUCUUAAUUUUAUACUAACAUAUUUUUUAGUGUUUUUGGUUUGUAGGUACAGCUUUUGGGGAGAGCGGCCGGAUGAGUGGACUACCGAAAACAAAACAUGGAGUUUUUCUAUUUUUGGUUUGUAGGUACAGCUUUUGGGGAGAGCGGCCGGAUGAGCGGACUACCGAAAAUAAAACAGGGAGUUUUUCAUACUCUUCUUUCUCUUUUACAUUUAUGCAUUGCUUUUAUUUUAUCAUAUUGCAUAUAGAGUUAGGAUUAUUUUUAGUCCCGGGACUUGCAUGCAUGCAUUAAUUUUGUUUCUUAAUUUUAUACUAACAUAUUUUUUAGUGUUUUUGGUUUGUAGGUACAGCUUUUGGGGAGAGCGGCCGGAUGAGCGGACUACCGAAAAUAAAACAGGAAGUUUUUCGUGCUCUUCUGUUUUAUAUUUAUGCAUUGCAUUUACUUUAUCAAAUUGCAUAUAGAGUUAGGAUUAUUUUUAGUCCCGGGACUUGCAUGUAUGCAUUAAUUUUGUUUCUUAAUUUUUUACUAACAUAUUUUUUAGUGUUUUUGGUUUGUAGGUACAGCUUUUGGGGAGAGCGGCCGGAUGAGCGGACUACCGAAAACAAAACAGGGAGUUUUUCGUACUCUUCUCUUUUAUAUUUAUGAAUUGCAUUUAUUUUAUCAUAUCACAUAUAGAGUUAGGAUUAUUUUUAGUCCCGGGACUUGCAUGCAUGCAUUAAUUUUGUUUCUUAAUUUUAUACUAACAUAUUUUUUAGUGUUUUUGAUUUGUAGGUACAGCUUUUGGGGAGAACAGCCGGAUGAGCGGAGUACCGAAAACAAAACUGUGUUUUUGGUUUGUAGGUACAGCUUUUGGGGAGAGCGGCCGGAUGAGCGGACUACCAAAAAUAAAACAGGGAGUUUUUCAUAAUCUUCUUUCUCUUUUACAUUUAUGGAUUGCUUUUAUUUUGUUGCAUGUAUAGUUAGGAUUAUUUUUAGUCCCGGGACUUGCAUGCAUGCAUUAAUUUUGUUUUUUAAUUUUAUACUAUCAUAUGUUUUAGUGUUUUUCGUUUGUAGGUACAGCUUUUGGGGAGAGCGGCCGGAUGAGCAGACUACCGAAAACAAAACAAGGAGUUUUUCGUACUCUUCUCUUUUACAUUUAUGCAUUGCUUUUAUUUUGUCAUAUUGCAUAUAGAGUUAGGAUUAUUUUUAGUCCCGUGACUUGCAUGCAUGCAUUAAUUUUGUUUCUUAAUUUUAUACUAACAUAUUUUUUAGUGUUUAUAGUUUGUAGGUACAGCUUUUGGGGAGAGCGGCCGGUUGAGCGGACUGCCGAAAAUAAAACAGGGAGUUUUUCGUACUCUUCUCUUUUAUAUUUAUGCAUUGCAUUUAUUUUAUCAUAUCGCAUAUAGAGUUAGGAUUAUUUUUAGUCCCGGGACUUGCAUGCAUUAAUUUUGUUUCUUAAUUUUAUACUAACAUAUUUUUUAGUGUUUUUGGUUUGUAGGUACAGCUUUUGGAGAGAGCGAGAGGCCGGAUGAGCGGACUAUCGAAAACAAAGCAGGGAGUUUUUCGUACUCUUUCUCUUUUACAUUUAUGCAUUGCAUUUAUUUUAUCAUAUGGCAUAUAGAGUUAGGAUUAUUUUUCGUCCCGGGACUUGCAUGCAUGCAUUAAUUUGUUUCUUAAUUUUAUACUAACAUAUUUUUUAGUGUUUUUGGUUUGUAGGUACAGCUUUUGGGGAGAGCGGCCGGAUGAGCAGUUGGACGAGCGGACUACCGAAAAUAAAACAGGGAGUUUUUCGUACUCUUUUCUUUUACAUUUAUGCAUUGUUUUUAUUUUAUCAUAAUACAUAUAGAGUUAGGAUUAUUUUUCGUCACGGGACUUGCAUGCAUGCAUUAAUUUUGUUUCUUAAUUUUAUACUACCAUAUUUUUUAGUGUUUUUG